Molecule: ribosomal RNA, 254 nt
Filed under: uncultured bacterium
Lineage: Bacteria
Description: partial 16S ribosomal RNA
Rfam family: Bacterial small subunit ribosomal RNA
Source: RNAcentral
UACGUAGGGUGCAAGCGUUGUCCGGAAUUAUUGGGCGUAAAGAGCUCGUAGGCGGCUUGUCGCGUCGGCUGUGAAAACCUGGGGCUCAACCCCGGGCCUGCAGCCGAUACGGGCAAGCUAGAAUUCGGUAGGGGAGACUGGAAUUCCAGGUGUAGCGGUGAAAUGCGUAGAUAUCUGGAGGAACACCGGUGGCGAAGGCGGCAUCCUGGACCAAUUCUGACGCUGAGUGAGCGAAAGCCAGGGGAGCAAACGGG